Molecule: ribosomal RNA, 519 nt
Filed under: Psychrobacter alimentarius
Lineage: Bacteria; Pseudomonadati; Pseudomonadota; Gammaproteobacteria; Moraxellales; Moraxellaceae
Description: bacterial SSU rRNA
Rfam family: Bacterial small subunit ribosomal RNA
Source: RNAcentral
GAGAAGUUUGAUCCUGGCUCAGAUUGAACGUCUGUGCAGGCAGGCUUAACACAUGCAAGUCGAGCGGUAACAUUUCUAGCUUGCUAGAAGAUGACGAGCGGCGGACGGGUGAGUAAUACUUAGGAAUCUACCUAGUAGUGGGGGAUAGCUCGGGGAAACUCGAAUUAAUACCGCAUACGUCCUACGGGAGAAAGGGGGCAACUUGUUGCUCUCGCUAUUAGAUGAGCCUAAGUCGGAUUAGCUAGAUGGUGGGGUAAAGGCCUACCAUGGCGACGAUCUGUAGCUGGUCUGAGAGGAUGAUCAGCCACACCGGGACUGAGACACGGCCCGGACUCCUACGGGAGGCAGCAGUGGGGAAUAUUGGACAAUGGGGGAAACCCUGAUCCAGCCAUGCCGCGUGUGUGAAGAAGGCCUUUUGGUUGUAAAGCACUUUAAGCAGUGAAGAAGACUCUUCGGUUAAUACCCGGAGACGAUGACAUUAGCUGCAGAAUAAGCACCGGCUAACUCUGUGCCAGCAGC